CCCUAGUCCACUAUGAAUUGAUUAGUUAAAGAGUUCUGACAUAUUGACAUGUACAUAGCUGAAGGGUUAAAGCUAACCAUCAGUAAUAAUACUAUCCAACAUACAAAGAAUUACCCAGAGGGAAUAAUAAGAAACUACACAAAUACAAAAGAACCCGUUACAACUUCUUAUGCAUCCUACAUUCAGGGGAGUUGUGUCGCAAAGGUGAUAGUGGUCGUCUCACUGAAUCUAUAUCUUUUAAGUCAAUCUUCAUCUUGACUGGGCUACUCAUCUUUGGACUUGAUUUUCGCUUGUUCCUCUACAACAGAUUCAGGCAAAUUACACGACAGAGUUAAAUGAAACCAAAUGGCCAGAAGCCAUUUGUGUAUAUACACUUACACAGAGAAGUCUUAUCGGCAUGCAAUACAAUGCAAGCACACAUUGACACAGGCAAGGAAACGAAAAACACACACACUCACAAAGCAUAAUAAAUUAUUCUUCAUUAUUUAUUAUUUGAUUCAUUUUAAUCUUACCUUGGCAGAUGCGCUGCUGGUAUGUUUUCCACCAGAACCAUCAAGGUUAUGUUCUUGGUGAUGCUUCAAUAAUUUUUUGUUCUCCUCAUCCAAUAUGUUGUUUUCUUCAGACAGUAAGUGGACCUCCUCUUCAGCUCUAGUAAGAUUGAUCCUGAGAUGCUCCUUAUCUUUUUGAAGAUUCUUCACUUUAGCAGCCAGAGAUAAAACUUUCUGAGUUGAUGGUCUCAAGCUGUUCCACAUUUUCAGCAACUUUUGACAUGACUCAUACCCACUGUUGGCCUCCAAAAAAGCAUGACCAAAUUCAACUUCAUCUUUACUGACCAAUGUAGCUAAAAUGGACUCAAGUAAAUGCUGUUCUGUAUCAGUACUCUUAGCCGGUGAAGCAACCCCAUGAUUCGCAUACUCAUGCUUGUAGAACUGCAAUUCCUCGGAUAACUUCCCUAAGACCUCUUCCAACUCACGAACCCUAAAUUCGGCCUCUCUUGCCCUCUCAUCAGCCUCGUUUCCAAAAUCCAUUAAAGCCUCUCUAUCGUUGUCAUAAAGUGAACACUCCCUCUCCCAUUUGUUACACUGAAUCACCAAACUGGCACACUCCGCCGCCAAUCUCUGAUUUUCCUCCACAAACUUCUUCAAAGCCACCGCAUUCAUAUUCGCCUCCGCCUUGGUUCGGUCAAUGAGCUGGUCCUUUUGGCGCAAUUUCCCGAGGAGAAGAAGGUACUGGUCGCGGAGGCGGCAAUGGGCAUCCUCGGAGGCGCGAAGCUUCAACUGGAGAGUGUGUGUAGAGAUUGGGAGGCCUAAUGAAUCGUCAAUUGUUUCUUUUAUGUAAUCGUCCAUUUGUACAGGGAGAUCCAUUCUGUGAUCUUAACUAAGAAACCCUAGAAUUUGAAAAUUCUUUUAUAGCAAAAGCGUGAUCUUUGGAAGCGAAAACCCUAACUGCACUCCACUGUCGCUUUAAUAAAUCAAUAUUUUUUCCAAAAAAAAAAAAAAUGCAGAGAUAAAGAUGAUAUGGGAGUAGUUGAUUAUGUUUCUUAAGUGGAUUUGAGCGAGAGAAUUUCCGGUUAGUAUUUUGGCCGCUUUUUUGUGUUAUUUGUUAUGAUUUUGGUGUUUGGGUAUUCAAAUUGAAGGAAGAGGGCUAG
This 1648-nucleotide unclassified non-coding RNA is filed under the name Hevea brasiliensis (rubber tree). The record is from RNAcentral. Lineage: Eukaryota; Viridiplantae; Streptophyta; Magnoliopsida; Malpighiales; Euphorbiaceae.